This 72-nucleotide transfer RNA is filed under the name Ovis aries (sheep). It matches the Rfam family "tRNA". From Rfam's summary of the family: Transfer RNA (tRNA) molecules are approximately 80 nucleotides in length. Their secondary structure includes four short double-helical elements and three loops (D, anti-codon, and T loops). The record is from Rfam by way of RNAcentral. Lineage: Eukaryota; Metazoa; Chordata; Mammalia; Artiodactyla; Bovidae.
UCCCUUGUGGCUCAGCUGGUAAAGCAUCUGCCUGCAAUGCAGGAGACCUGGGUUUGAUUCCUGGGUUGGGAA